AAUAAGUGUAGUUUUGCACUAUUUAUGUUCAACGUUUGACCGUUCGUCUUAUUUGAAAAAUUUUUAUGAUUAGUAUUUUUAUUGUUAUUAGAUGAUAAAACAUAAAUAGUACUUUAUGUGUGACUAAAUAUUUUUAAAUUUUUUAUAAAUUUUUUAAAUAAGACGAACGGUCAAACGUUGAGCACGAAUAUCCCACGGCUGUACUUAUU
Molecule: microRNA precursor, 209 nt
Organism: Oryza rufipogon (brownbeard rice)
Lineage: Eukaryota; Viridiplantae; Streptophyta; Magnoliopsida; Poales; Poaceae
Rfam family: MIR812 microRNA precursor family
Source: Rfam